RNAcentral lists this long non-coding RNA (362 nucleotides) under Sorghum bicolor (sorghum). RNAcentral describes it as "long non-coding RNA (SBIC_LNC017979)". Lineage: Eukaryota; Viridiplantae; Streptophyta; Magnoliopsida; Poales; Poaceae. The record is from RNAcentral.
CUCUGAUAAUUUGCCCUGGGAAUUGUCUUCCUCUGAUGUGACCAUGAUAUCAUCGUGCUGUGGUAGUGAAAGCUCCAGUAUGCUGAACCACAUCAGGUCCCCUGUUGUCGUGGCCAUGGCUUGGCGGACGUCCAUCAUGGUGAGGCGGUGGCACAUCGCAGUUGAGCGUUUUCCUGUCUGUCACGGGUUGUUUUCGGGUGGUAGGCAUGCCAAACAAAAGGCAGAAAAGAAAGUAUAGAGACGAAUCUGAAAGGGGACCGAAAUCUGGAGAGAACAAAAAUGGGAAAAUUUUAUUAUAUACUGUAUAUAUAAAUAAACGUAAAAAUUAAGGGUGGGGAUGACCCUCCAAAUGUAUACCUGCG